UACGAAGGGGGCUAGCGUUGCUCGGAAUCACUGGGCGUAAAGCGCACGUAGGCGGAUUGCUAAGUCAGGGGUGAAAUCCUGGAGCUCAACUCCAGAACUGCCUUUGAUACUGGCGAUCUCGAGUCCGGGAGAGGUGAGUGGAACUGCGAGUGUAGAGGUGAAAUUCGUAGAUAUUCGCAAGAACACCAGUGGCGAAGGCGGCUCACUGGCCCGGUACUGACGCUGAGGUGCGAAAGCUAGGGGAGCGAACAGG
This 253-nucleotide ribosomal RNA is filed under the name uncultured bacterium. RNAcentral's name for it is "partial 16S ribosomal RNA". It matches the Rfam family "Bacterial small subunit ribosomal RNA", at positions 524 to 776 of the family's 1533-position model. The record is from RNAcentral.